RNAcentral lists this unclassified non-coding RNA (200 nucleotides) under soil metagenome. RNAcentral's name for it is "partial contains internal transcribed spacer 2 and large subunit ribosomal RNA". The record is from RNAcentral.
UUCGAGCGUCAUUUCAACCCUCAAGCACAGCUUGGUCUUGGGCCCUGCCGGCAACGGCUGGCCUUAAAACUAGUGGCGGCGCCUCGAGCUCUACGCGUAGUAAUAAACCCCUCGCGUGUGAGCCUCGGCGGCUGCUGGCCAGCAACCCCCAAUUUUCUAUGGUUGACCUCGGAUCAGGUAGGGAUACCCGCUGAACUUAA